CACACCUCUGAUCAGGGAAGACUACCCGCUGAGUUUAAGCAUAUCACUAAGCGGAGGAGAAGAAACUAACCAGGAUUUCCCUAGUAACGGCGAGCGAACCGGAA
This 104-nucleotide ribosomal RNA is filed under the name Ceratodon purpureus. Its description in RNAcentral is "partial 28S ribosomal RNA". It matches the Rfam family "Eukaryotic large subunit ribosomal RNA", at positions 1 to 103 of the family's 3401-position model. The record is from RNAcentral. Lineage: Eukaryota; Viridiplantae; Streptophyta; Bryopsida; Pseudoditrichales; Ditrichaceae.